Molecule: small nuclear RNA, 76 nt
Filed under: Homo sapiens (human)
Lineage: Eukaryota; Metazoa; Chordata; Mammalia; Primates; Hominidae
Description: partial ncRNA
Source: RNAcentral
AAAUCACUUGACCCCGGGAGGCGGAGGUUGCAGUGAGCCAAGAUCAUGCCACUGCAUUCCAGCCUGGGCAACAAGA